RNAcentral lists this ribosomal RNA (253 nucleotides) under uncultured bacterium. RNAcentral describes it as "partial 16S ribosomal RNA". It matches the Rfam family "Bacterial small subunit ribosomal RNA", at positions 524 to 776 of the family's 1533-position model. The record is from RNAcentral.
UACGUAGGGUCCGAGCGUUGUCCGGAAUUACUGGGCGUAAAGAGCUCGUAGGUGGUUUGUCGCGUUGUUCGUGAAAACUCACAGCUCAACUGUGGGCGUGCGGGCGAUACGGGCAGACUGGAGUACUGCAGGGGAGACUGGAAUUCCUGGUGUAGCGGUGAAAUGCGCAGAUAUCAGGAGGAACACCGGUGGCGAAGGCGGGUCUCUGGGCCGAUACUGACGCUGAGGAGCGAAAGCAUGGGUAGCGAACAGG